AUGUAUGCAUGGUUGGGUUUUAUUUGCGUAUUUGGCGGAAUUUGGCAUAUUUUAACCAAACCCUUCGCAUGGGCUCGCCGUGCAUUUGUACGGUUUGGAGAAGCUUACUUGUCUUAUAGUUUAGCUGCUUUAUCUGUCUUUGGUUUUAUCGCUUGUUGUUUUGUAUGGUUCAAUAAUACAGCUUAUCCGAGUGAGUUUUAUGGACCCACCGGGCCACAAGCUUCUCAAGCUCAAGCAUUUACUUUUCUAGUUAGAGACCAGCGUCUUGGAGCUAAUGUGGGAUCCGCUCAAGGACCCACAGGUUUAGGUAAAUAUCUAAUGCGUUCCCCAACUGGGGAGGUUAUCUUUGGAGGGGAAACUAUGCGUUUUUGGGACCUUCGUGCUCCAUGGUUAGAACCUCUAAGGGGCCCCAACGGUUUGGACUUGAGUAGGUUGAAAAAAGACAUACAACCUUGGCAAGAACGACGCUCAGCAGAAUAUAUGACCCACGCUCCUUUAGGCUCUUUAAAUUCCGUGGGUGGCGUAGCUACCGAGAUCAAUGCAGUUAAUUAUGUCUCUCCUAGAAGUUGGUUAUCAACUUCUCAUUUUGUUCUAGGAUUCUUCUUUUUUGUGGGCCAUUUAUGGCAUGCAGGAAGAGCCCGAGCUGCUGCAGCAGGUUUUGAAAAGGGAAUCGAUCGUGAUUUGGAACCUGUUCUUUACAUUAACAGUCGCGUAAAUUAG
RNAcentral lists this ribosomal RNA (720 nucleotides) under Triticum aestivum (bread wheat). Its description in RNAcentral is "partial small subunit ribosomal RNA". The record is from RNAcentral. Lineage: Eukaryota; Viridiplantae; Streptophyta; Magnoliopsida; Poales; Poaceae.